This 472-nucleotide ribosomal RNA is filed under the name uncultured bacterium. RNAcentral's name for it is "SSU rRNA". It matches the Rfam family "Bacterial small subunit ribosomal RNA", at positions 26 to 518 of the family's 1533-position model. The record is from RNAcentral.
AGGACGAACGCUGGCGGCGUGCUUAACACAUGCAAGUCGAGCGGAAAGGCCCUUCGGGGUACUCGAGCGGCGAACGGGUGAGUAACACGUGAGCAAUCUGCCCUUAGCUUCGGGAUAGCCCCGGGAAACCGGGAUUAAUACCGAAUAUGACCUUGGCCGACAUCGGCCUUGGUGGAAAGUUUUUCGGCUAGGGAUGAACUCGCGGCCUAUCAGCUUGUUGGUGGGGUAAUGGCCUACCAAGGCGACGACGGGUAGCCGGCCUGAGAGGGCGACCGGCCACACUGGGACUGAGACACGGCCCAGACUCCUACGGGAGGCAGCAGUGGGGAAUAUUGCGCAAUGGGCGAAAGCCUGACGCAGCGACGCCGCGUGGGGGAUGAAGGCCUUCGGGUUGUAACCCUUUCAGCAGGGACGAAGCGAGAGUGACGGUACCUGCAGAAGAAGCGCCGGCUAACUACGUGCCAGCAGCCGC